Molecule: ribosomal RNA, 481 nt
Filed under: uncultured bacterium
Lineage: Bacteria
Description: partial 16S ribosomal RNA
Rfam family: Bacterial small subunit ribosomal RNA
Source: RNAcentral
UUGAACGCUGGCGGCAUGCCUUACCCAUGCAAGUCGAACGGUAACGCGGGGCAACCUGGCGACGAGUGGCGAACGGGUGAGUAAUGCAUCGGAACGUGCCCAGAAGUGGGGGAUAGCCCGGCGAAAGCCGGAUUAAUACCGCAUGAGACCUGAGGGUGAAAGCGGGGGAUCGCAAGACCUCGCGCUUUUGGAGCGGCCGAUGUCAGAUUAGCUAGUUGGUGGGGUAAAGGCCUACCAAGGCGACGAUCUGUAGCUGGUCUGAGAGGACGACCAGCCACACUGGGACUGAGACACGGCCCAGACUCCUACGGGAGGCAGCAGUGGGGAAUUUUGGACAAUGGGCGCAAGCCUGAUCCAGCCAUGCCGCGUGCGGGAAGAAGGCCUUCGGGUUGUAAACCGCUUUUGUCAGGGAAGAAACGCUCUGGGCUAAUACCCUGGGGUAAUGACGGUACCUGAAGAAUAAGCACCGGCUAACUACGUG